ACACUUACCUUACAGCGGAGAUACAAUCACCUAAGUGUUUUCCCCAGACUAAGACAUAUCCAUUGCACUCCAGGAUGCUGACCCUUGGUAUUUCCUCUAACAUGGGGAACUCAACUGCAUAAUUUGUGGCAGUGGAGGAACUGCAUUCAAGUUAGUCCCUGCA
RNAcentral lists this small nuclear RNA (163 nucleotides) under Meriones unguiculatus (Mongolian gerbil). Its description in RNAcentral is "U1 spliceosomal RNA (ENSMUGG00000016042.1)". It matches the Rfam family "U1 spliceosomal RNA". From Rfam's summary of the family: U1 is a small nuclear RNA (snRNA) component of the spliceosome (involved in pre-mRNA splicing). Lineage: Eukaryota; Metazoa; Chordata; Mammalia; Rodentia; Muridae. The record is from RNAcentral.